RNAcentral lists this ribosomal RNA (253 nucleotides) under uncultured bacterium. Its description in RNAcentral is "partial 16S ribosomal RNA". It matches the Rfam family "Bacterial small subunit ribosomal RNA", at positions 524 to 776 of the family's 1533-position model. The record is from RNAcentral.
UACAGAGGUCUCAAGCGUUGUUCGGAUUCAUUGGGCGUAAAGGGUGCGUAGGCGGCGCGGUAAGUCGGGUGUGAAAUCUUGGAGCUUAACUCCGAGACUGCAUUCGAUACUGCCGUGCUUGAGGACUGGAGAGGAGACUGGAAUUUACGGUGUAGCGGUGAAAUGCGUAGAUAUCGUAAGGAAGACCAGUGGCGAAGGCGGGUCUCUGGACAGUUCCUGACGCUGAGGCACGAAGGCCAGGGGAGCAAACGGG